CUCACUGCAGCCUCAACCUGGGCUCAAGCGAUCCUCCCACCUCAGCCUCCUGAGUAGCUGGGACUACAGGUGCACACCACCACGCCCAGCUCAUUUUUGUAUGUUUUGUAGAGACUGUGUUUUGCCACGUUGCCCAGGCUAUUCUCAAACUCCUGGGCUCAAGUGAUCCUCCCACCUCAGCCUCCCAAAGUGCUGGGAUUACAGGUGUAAUCCACCACACCCAGCCAGAUGCAUUCAUGUCUACAAUAGAAAUACAUCUCUUUGCUGCUAUCUUGAAUUUGUAGACUCCCACAAAUCAAUAAAAAAGAAGACAUCCAAUAAAAAAAUGGGUAGAGGCCAGGCAGUGGCUAACACCUGUAAUCCAAGCACUUUAGGAGGCCCAGGCAGGCAGAUCACUUGAGGUCAGAAGUUCGAGACCAGCCUGGCCAACAUGACAAAACCCUGUCUCUACUAAAAAUAUAAAAAUUAGCCAGACGUAGUGGCACGUACCUGUAAUCACAACUACUCGGGAGGCUGAGACAGGAGAAUUGCUUGAACCCAGGAGGCAGAAGUUGCAGUGAGCCAAGAUCGUGCCACUGCACUCCAGCCUGGGCGACAGAGCAAGACUCCAUCUCAAAAAAAAAAAAAAAAAGGUAGAAACUUAAACAGUCACCUCACAAAAAAGGGUAUCUAAAUAUUAGUUUCUUAAAAAAUAUAAAAGGGGCGUGUAGAUGGCCGAUAAACAUGUAAAAGAUAACUAAUUUAAUCAUUAGAGAAAUGCAAAUUAAAACCUAAAUGAGAUUUUAAUCUCACAUCCAACAGAAUGGCUAAAAUGGAAAACCCAGAAAAUGCCAGAUGUUGGUCAAGAGUUGGAGUAACUGAAACUACACGGCUGCUGGAAAUGUAUAUUGCUAUAACCACUUUGGAAAAUGGGAAGUUCAACAAACAGGCAAACCAAUCUAGAUUUAGGGAUAUAUGUUUAGGUAGUAAAAGUAUAAAGAAAAGAAAUAGUUAGCUUUGCAGGGAGUAGUGCUUGGGAGGUAAUAGGUGCUUCUGGAGUGCUGUUGAUGUUCUGUUCCUAAGUAGGGUGCUAUGGCUUGAGUUUGGUUUACCUGACCCUACCAAGUCUCAUGUUAAAAUUUCAUCCCCAGUGUUGGAGGUGAGGCCUGGUGGGAAGGGUUGUGGGAGUGGAUUUCUCAUGAGUGGCUUCGUAUUCUGUAAGGAGUGAGUUCAUUAAGAGACUGGCACCUCCUCUCUCCUUUCUCUCGCCAUGUGAUCUCUGCAUAUGUCAUCUGUCUGCCUUCCACCAUGAGCAGCCUGAAGCCCUCACUGGAAGCAGAUACUGCUACCAUGCUUCCUGUACAGCCUGCAAAACCGUGAGCCAAAUAAGCCGAACAUUCUAAGACACUGGGAUUACAUGAGUGUUAGCACUCUAUGACUUAAUGAGAAUGGCUCACACCUGUAAUCCCAGCGCUUUGGGAGGCCGAGGCAGAUGGAUCACUUGAGGCCAGGAGUUCCAGACCAGCCUGGCCAACACGGCGAAACCCCAUCUCUACUAAAAAUACAAAAAAUUAGCCAGGCCUGGUGGUGCACGCUUGUAAUCCCAGGUACUUGGGAAGCUAAGGCAGGAGGAUCACUUGAACCCAGGGGAGGCUGCAGUGAGCUGAGAUCGUGCCACUGCACUCCAGCUUGGGCAACAGAGCAAGACUCCAUCUUAAAAAGAAGAAAGAAAGAACUUCUAUUUUUUAAAUGUUUUUUCCUUUCAUUGAACUCCAUUUAUAGCCUUUCCAUUCAGAGCAUAAAGAUUAAAUUUUAAAACAAGGCUUGGCACCCUGGCUUAUGCCUGUAAUCCCAGCACUUUGUGAGGCCAAGGUGGGCGGAUCACCUGAGCUCAGAAGAUUGAGUCCAGCCUGGCUAACAUGGUGAAACCCCGUCUCUAAAAUAGUACACAGUCCUAGAGCAGUGGUGUGCACCUGUAGUCCUAGCUACCUGGGAGGCUGAACCAGGAGAAUUGCUUGAGCCUGGGAGGCAGAGGUUGCAGUGAGCCAAGAUCGCACCAUUGCACUCCAGCCUGGGUGACAGAGAGAGACCCUGUGCCCCUCAAAAAAAUGUUUUUUUUAAACAAGAAUCUCUCAGGCAUACUGAAAUGUUGAAGAGGAAAUUAUAUUAAUAUCUGGGACUUGUUUCCAAAUUUGGAAUUGGGGCAGGGUGUAAAUUGUUGGCAAUAUCAAAGAAACGAGGAGUUGGAAUGAUAAUUGUAGAAGCUGCAUGAUAGAUACACAUUCUUUAUACUUCUGUAUAUGUUGAAAUUUUUUAUCAAAUUAUAAUUGUGUAAUGACUAAUUAUGCUUUCAUUGUCUAUUCUGUGUGGUUAUGUUACUUGCUGAAAUUAAUACAUAAAGAGUCUUCAACUUAAAUGACUUAUCAAGCAUAAAUAUUAAAAUACUGGAUGUUACUACA
Pan troglodytes (chimpanzee) is the source of this 2438-nucleotide long non-coding RNA. RefSeq lists it as uncharacterized. Lineage: Eukaryota; Metazoa; Chordata; Mammalia; Primates; Hominidae. The transcript has 2 exons. The record is from RefSeq and is a predicted model, not a curated record.